Mustela erminea (ermine) is the source of this 87-nucleotide long non-coding RNA. RefSeq lists it as uncharacterized. The record is from RefSeq and is a predicted model, not a curated record. NCBI's taxonomy places the organism in Eukaryota, Metazoa, Chordata, Mammalia, Carnivora, Mustelidae. The transcript is spliced from 3 exons.
UCAGGUCAUGAUCUCAGGGUCCUGGGAUCAAGCCCCAUGUUGGGCUCCCCGUUCAGUGCAGAGUCCGCUUGGAAUUCUCUCUCCCUC